GACGAACGCUGGCGGCGUGCUUAACACAUGCAAGUCGAGCGAGAUCCAUCCAGUGGCAACACUGGUGAAGAUCUAGCGGCGAACGGGUGAGUAACACGUGAGCAACCUGCCCCGAAGACCGGGAUAACAGCGGGAAACCGCUGCUAAUACCGGAUGCCCUCACCGGCCGCAUGACCUGGUGAGGAAAUGGCUGAGUCUUAAUAAACUCAGUCCGCUUCGGGAGGGGCUCGCGGGCUAUCAGCUUGUUGGUGAGGUAACGGCUCACCAAGGCUACGACGGCUAGCUGGUCUGAGAGGACGACCAGCCACACUGGGACUGAGACACGGCCCAGACUCCUACGGGAGGCAGCAGUGGGAAUCUUGCGCAAUGGGCGAAAGCCUGACGCAGCAACGCCGCGUGGGGA
RNAcentral lists this ribosomal RNA (403 nucleotides) under uncultured bacterium. RNAcentral's name for it is "bacterial SSU rRNA". It matches the Rfam family "Bacterial small subunit ribosomal RNA", at positions 28 to 407 of the family's 1533-position model. The record is from RNAcentral.